UACGUAGGGGCUAGCGUUAUCCGGAAUUACUGGGCGUAAAGGGUGCGUAGGUGGUUUCUUAAGUCAGAGGUGAAAGGCUACGGCUCAACCGUAGUAAGCCUUUGAAACUGGGAAACUUGAGUGCAGGAGAGGAGAGUGGAAUUCCUAGUGUAGCGGUGAAAUGCGUAGAUAUUAGGAGGAACACCAGUAGCGAAGGCGGCUCUCUGGACUGUAACUGACGCUGAGGCACGAAAGCGUGGGGAGCAAACAGGAUUAGAUACCCGCGUAGUCCCUGAG
Molecule: ribosomal RNA, 276 nt
Filed under: uncultured prokaryote
Description: partial 16S ribosomal RNA
Rfam family: Bacterial small subunit ribosomal RNA
Source: RNAcentral